CCGGCGCACGGGUGAGUAACGCGUAUGCAACCUGCCCGUUUCAGCGGGAUAACCCGGAGAAAUCCGGCCUAAUACCGCAUGUGGCCGAGGGGAGGCAUCUUCUUUCGGCCAAAGGAGGCGACUCCGGAGACGGAUGGGCAUGCGUGACAUUAGCUUGUUGGCGGGGUAACGGCCCACCAAGGCGACGAUGUCUAGGGGUUCUGAGAGGAAGGUCCCCCACACUGGUACUGAGACACGGACCAGACUCCUACGGAAGGCAGCAG
RNAcentral lists this ribosomal RNA (263 nucleotides) under uncultured bacterium. RNAcentral describes it as "partial 16S ribosomal RNA". It matches the Rfam family "Bacterial small subunit ribosomal RNA", at positions 95 to 354 of the family's 1533-position model. The record is from RNAcentral.